This 70-nucleotide non-coding RNA is filed under the name Madagascaria erythrocladioides. The record is from RNAcentral. Lineage: Eukaryota; Rhodophyta; Compsopogonophyceae; Erythropeltidales; Erythrotrichiaceae.
UGGAAAAAUGGGGGUGAGGUUGGAUAUUUUUUUUUUGUUUUUUUUUUUCUUUUUUUUUUUCUUUUUUCCU